GUAGGUGGCAAGCGUUGUCCCGGAAUUAUUGGGCGUAAAGCGCGCGCAGGGCGGUCCUUUAAGUCUGAUGUGAAAGCCCACGGCUCAACCGUGGAGGGUCAUUGGAAACUGGGGGACUUGAGUACAGAAGAGGAAAGCGGAAUUCCAGGUGUAGCGGUGAAAUGCGUAGAGAUUUGGAGGAACACCAGUGGCGAAGGCGGCUUUCUGGUCUGUAACUGACGCUGAGGCGCGAAAGCGUGGGGAGCAAACAGGAUUAGAUACCCUGGUAGUCCACGCCGUAAACGAUGAGUGCUAAGUGUUAGGGGGUUUCCGCCCCUUAGUGCUGCAGCUAACGCAUUAAGCACUCCGCCUGGGGAGUACGGCCGCAAGGCUG
This 373-nucleotide ribosomal RNA is filed under the name uncultured organism. Its description in RNAcentral is "partial 16S ribosomal RNA". It matches the Rfam family "Bacterial small subunit ribosomal RNA", at positions 527 to 896 of the family's 1533-position model. The record is from RNAcentral.